Molecule: long non-coding RNA, 6126 nt
Organism: Ctenopharyngodon idella (grass carp)
Lineage: Eukaryota; Metazoa; Chordata; Actinopteri; Cypriniformes; Xenocyprididae
Exons: 2
Source: RefSeq, a predicted model, not a curated record
CAGCUGCCCUCAGCGACAUUUUAUAAUCCUAAGUUUACGUUCCUACUCAGGCUUCAGAAAACACGGGGCGUGAGACACUAAGGAAGUCAGAGUCUGUGUUUUUAUGUGUGCGAGGAGAGAGUUAUGCAAGUUCAUUGGUCAUUAACAGUUUCUUCACCUCCAAAAGCCUCUCUACACUCCUCCAAAUCUAAACACGCACAACUAUUACCUUCAUAAAUCCCUGCUCUUUCUGCCACAAACCCUCUUUCAAAAACAAAUGUUCUCUCUCACUGUCACACACACACACAUGGCCAUGGUUCACUGGCUCUGUGCACAGUCUUCCCUGUAUCUUUUUGUCUGUGGGCCACAAGGCUUUGUUUUGUGAAGAGAAAUAACAAAAAGCGACCCCCUAUUCCCUGACCCGCACCGCCUCUCGGCUGCUCUAAACCCCUCACACACAUUCCACACAGUGCCCGGGUCAAAGGCCACGACAAGCACAAUAACGAGUUAAAAAGGAAAGGGACGGACCGGGUGAAGUUCAUUCACAUCUCAAAUCCAGCUCAGAAGAGAAAGAGGGAUAGAGAGAGAGAGAGUUUGAGGAAAAAAUGCGCUUUAGGGACUGUAUUCUUUGUCUAAGUGAGCUGAGGGUAUACUAAUCACAUGUAUAUGAGGAGAAUUCACCCGACCUUUGGAGUUGAGCAUCUACAACAAUGGUAUCAGCAAAAGCUGAUUGUGAGGCUGCCUGGUUCUGGAAGUAUUUUUCAACAUUUAAAAAACCUUGAACCAAAUCACCCACUAUCAAGUUUGUGUGCUUAACAGGGAACAGAUGCAAAUUAUCAAACCCUAUUUUACCAAGAUGUGGGAGUAUCAUGCAAACAUCAUGCAAACAUGGUGACAUUCAAAAAAACACAAAAUUAUCUUCUCUAUCUUCUUUAUAUAGCGCUUUUUACAAUGUAGAUUGUGUCAAAGCAGCUUUACAUUGAUAACUGGUACAUUGUUUGGCUGCACAGCAGCUCUUAAAGAAUAGUGUCAAUGCAGGCAGAUCAAAGCACUGUUGAAUAUCAAAUGUCAAGUCAAGUGUCCCCAACUAAGCAAGCCAGAGGCGACAGCGGCAAGGAACCCAAACUCCAUCAGGUGACAUUAGGUGGCAGACAAGUGGCAAAUUGGUGUUAAAAUGGAGAAAAAAACCUUGGGAGAAACCAGGCUUAGUCGGGGUGCCAGUUCUCCUCUGGCCAACAGUGUUGACAAAUCUGGUCAAGUAUGAAAAAUGACAAAUGUUAAAUUAGUGUACAACUUACCAUGUUUUGAACAUGGCUCCUCUAAAGACUGAAAUGAUGUCACUUCCUCUUGAUCAUAUAUUUUAAAGAGACAGUUCACUUUUAUUUUGAGAUUGGUGUUUUUGAAGUUUAUUUUGAGUAAUUGGUGUUGUGGACAUAAAUGUUAUAUAAAUGUUAUUGAUCUAGCGUACACAUUUUAUCAGUAAUGUUUUUUGUCCUUCAUUGUUUCUUAACAGUCAACAUUACUUAACUAGCCUGCAACUCACCACAAAUCUUCUUGCUGCAAUUCUCAUUUCCAAGCUAACAGCAACUUCUUUGACUUGUAGAUCACUCUUCAGCUAUGUGGGUACUGAAGUACUUCACUGGGAAUUCAGCACCAGGAUUUUAAAGUUGAAAUUGCACGGCCUGUUGGCUUUACAGAAGCAUAUAUCAUCCAACGACCUCUCUGUGCUCAUUGUAGGUCUGUUUUGAAAAGUUUUUACGUUAAAUCAAUUUCGCUAUGGAGACUUUAAAUGGGAUUUUUACCUCCGGAAGCAGUCUGUUGUGCUCUAUUGUUUGUAUUGUGUGUGAGGGCACAAUCAUAAGGGCACUUGUGUGAGAGACAGUGUGUACUUGUUGAAAUGAGUGUGUGGGAGAAAGUAAGAUAAUUAAAAGCUGUUGUGGUCUCUGCACAGAGCGUGUCUCUAGAGGAAGAUGCUAAUCUUUACGAGCGUGUGUGUGACCUGUGUCUCUUAGGGAGGAUGUCUGUUCUGAUGGAAUGCUGACCUAGAAACCAGAGCAUGGAUAAUCCUGACAAGAUCACAAAUCUCAUUCUGUCACCAAAUGGAUGAUGUGUGUGAGCAUAUUUGCGGUUGUGUGGAACGAUAAUGAAAAUUACAUUUUAUUGCUCUGUUCCAAAAACUAGAGAGCCAUCUAUGGGGACAGCAUUUUUACAUAGUUACACUCCUGACAGGAAUGCUCUAGGUAACUUAGUUAUACUGCCUUGUAAAAUAUUCCUAAAACGUACCUUUAUUCUAAAGCAGCACUGCAUGUCUUCUUUGUGAAGGCAAUCACAGAAUGCACUAUGGCAAGCUGAAUGGUAAAAAAAAAAAAAUCAAGAUGGCAGAUGAUGUUGAUUAUAAAUAAACAUAAUUAAAUUCAAUACUUAAGAGAAAAAAUAGCUAAAAUAUCAAAUCGUUGAACAUUGAAGAAUGUUGGUCCCUAGAAUGUUCUUGGAACACAUACAUAUAGGCUAAAAAAAGUGUUUUUUUUUUUUUUUUUUUUUUUUUUAAAGAAAAUAAAACAAUCACAUUAAAUGUUUUAAAAAAAUGUUCUGGGAACAUUAAGUGGUUCCCAACAAAAAAUAACCAAAUGAGAACCAUACACUAGUUUACGGAGCCCCUAAAGGAACAUGGUGAUAGAAAAAAUAUGAGAUGGGAGGGAAAAAUAAUAAGUCAAUGCUUUUGCAUUCUCACGCAAAUGUUUUGCGUUCCCCCGAGAAACUUUGCAUUCACUCGCAAAACCUUUUGCGUUCCCCCGCAAAACUUUGCGUUCACUCGGAAAAACCUUUUGAGUUCUUUGCAAGCGAAUGCAAAGUUUAUCAGUGGAACGCAAAGUUUCUUUGAGGAACGCAAAACAUUGUGAGAGAACUCAAAAGUAUUGACAAAUAAAUUUUUCUCAAAGGGACAUGGUGGUGGAAAUAAAUGAGAUGGGAAGGAAAAUAAUAAGUCAGUGCUUUUGUGUUCUCUCGCAAAUGUUUUGCGUUCCCGCGAGAAACUUGAGCUCCUUGCGAGCGAAUGCAAAGUUUCUCAGGGGAAUGCAAAAGCAUUGAAAUAAUUUUCCCCCUCCCAUUUCAUAUUUUUCUUUAGGGGCUCCUAGCUAUUUGUAUGGUGUACAAAGUUGCUGCACAUGUAAAGCAUUUUUAAUAUCACUCACUUAGUGAUGAGGUUUCAUGACGGCUAGAAUGUUGCCUUAAAAAAAGCAGUUGCCUAUGUUGGCAGCAGUCUGCAAGGAAACUUACUAUAUUUAGGAUCAGAGUUUGUGUUGCAAAAUCACCCCCCAUUGCCCAGUAUUAUGAACAAUAUUAAGUGUAUGCUAGCAUAUGCACACGUGUGUAUGUGAUGCAUUGAUGAUACACAGAUGGUGUGAAAUCUGUUCAUGUGUUUAAAAAAAACAGAUACUCCUGGUAUGUGUCAGAAUAUCAAUAGAACUUUACAGCAAUGUGCGUGUUGACGGUUAUGCAAAUGUUGAUAGGGAGCCUCGUGUGUAACAUUCGAGUUAGUGAUUAAUGUAAGACUAGCUCCAGUGUAUGUAAGGGUCAAUAAACAGAAGAAUUUGAAGGGCGCACACCAUACAUGCACACGAAAAGAUUCAAUACUAACCUCUAGCCUCUAGCCAACCCCCUUUAAUUCACUGGCGAGCUCUCCGCACACACAAACAGACGAAUGAAAACAAACACGGGUGCACACAGUUUCGCUAUCUAUGAGGCCCAGACGGACCUUCUCCCCUCAGGCGGCCAUUAGCAGAGUGAAGCUUCAUCUCUGACAGCCUGUCAAUGGCCUUCUGGCGUGGAUAUUAUUGGACUGAAAAACAACUCUAUCACACUCUGCUAGAGUCUGUUUCAAGAACAAACAGACGCUCAAACGCAGCAGCCGUCGGUCCUUAUGACUGUACUGUGAAGGGUCAUGCGAGGUUUUGGUAGUGAGGGGUUUUUACGGCGCCUGUCAAAGUGCCUAUUUGAUUUAGUGCCCUGACUUGACGGGGGCAACACAUCAAACACUGAUAUAGAGAUGAACCAAGAAGGAACUUAAAGGAAGACAGAAUGAACGAAACCAGGAGGGGAAGGGAGUGAUUGUGCCAUUAAAAUGCCAGUGAUGUCAUCCAGCACUUAUUACAAGCCAGCAGCAAACCACAUCGACUCAAUGGACAAACAGAGUAACAACAGAGGUGGAAUGUGGGAAGAUAUUACGAGAUCAAGUGAGCGAGAUGGAAUAAGUAAAGAGGGAAAUCUAACAAUGCAAGGUCAAAAACUGCAUAAAACAACAAAAAGUGUUAAAAACGCCCUCUGGGAGAUUUGAGACCAUACUAAAGGUGAAUGAUAGCCAUGAUAAACUAGCAACUUUUCAGUUUUAUCAUUGAGUUUUACUGCAUGGAAUGCAAUCUUUAUUUGAUAUAGGGUUGGAAAGAGAGAGAAAAGGGAGUUAAAAGAGAGGUCUGGUAAAGGAACAGGUGCACACACUGUUUCCCCAAUGUCUUAUCUCAACAUCUUUUUAAACAUUAACAUUUAUUUAACAUUGCCUCAAUGUUUUUAUAACAUCUCAACAAAUCCAAACAUCAAGUCCCGUCCAGUCCAACUGGACUUCUAAAACACUGAAAGUCUUCUUGCCUCCUGAAAUCAGCAUUGUUUAUAGAAAUACUGUUAAGAGUUAAACAGUCUUUCACUUUCAAGGCAUUUCAAGUUAUAUUAAGUUAGUUGAUAAUAUUUCAGUGUAAACAAAUAAAUCUAACAGCCAUUAUUAAAUGAGUGUGUAAAAUGCUGAAACAGGGUUUGGUGUUCUUGUGUGGUCGCUAUUGGAAUUUUUUGGUUAGGUUUUGAAAUGCUUUGGGUGGCUUAUAGGUCAAUGCUAAUCAGGCCAGAUGGCUUGCCUUCGCUCAACAGAGAAGCUGGACAAAGAAAAAAAAAAUCCUGCCUAACCCGUGGCAUGGCUAUCCGAGGAAGUGCUUUACGUCUUAGGAUUCAGGCAGUCGAGUAUAUCACAUAAUGCUGGUUUAAAGGAGAAUUUAUACAUGGCUAAAGACACUAAAAGAAGUAUGCAUAGGCUUGACAAUGGUUCCUCCAGGUCUGUAGGGGGCAGUAGUAGGAAAUACAUCCCUAUUGAAUACCACAAUAAUAGACUUCUGUAUGAAAACUGCUUUAAAUAAUGACAACAGUCUCUGUGAAUGGCUGUACAUCAGAAAACUUUGUAAAAAUAAAAUAAUAAUAAUAAAAAAUCUUAAAAUCUUCUGCCCAUUCAAAUAAGUACUGAUUUCGAAGACAUAACUCAAAAAACAAAGCAGAAUAAAGUUCUGCUUCUAGAUAUUUAGUUUACUUGCUAAUAAGUGUCUUAAAUAAAACUUUAUAUCUUUUUUAAAGAUUUUAUGUCUUUAGUGAUUUAAACACAGCGUAGUCUGAUUCCCAAACAAAUGACUCUGAAUGUUCCCUAUUAGUGAAUAAUAAUAAUAAAAAAAGAGACUCACUUACUGAAAAGUUAUUAUUUUCAUCAUAAGGCUUGUGGGGCUUAAAUCAGUGUAUUUCCUGGCUUAACGUUCAUAUGACAAUGUGCAGAUAAAGAUACACAUUUUUUUUUGUUUGUAAUGUGUCAUUUUAUAAAAAUGAAUUAAUGUUAAUAUGAAAAUAGGAAAUCUUACCAAUUUUUUGACUUUAGUCUUUUUAUUUAAUACAUAGUUAGGAUUAAUUAUUGGAUUGCAUUUAUGCCACCAUUAAAAAGUCUGUGAAAAGUCAAACUCCAUUUAGCAUUAGACUGAUGAGGAUAGUAAAUGCAAUAAAAAAAAAUUGCAUUUCUUUUUCCCCCCAAAUAUAUUUUCCUCUGAAGCACUAAAAAAAAAAUCAUCAAUGGAACUGUUAAGGGGAAUCAGAACCACAAUUGUUAAAUUCUUUAUGGUUCCCAUUGCUAGUUACCAUGGCCACGAGUAGGGUAGGUUCCUUCAUUUAGACUAUUCUCAUUUGCUCAAUCUACAAAUGAAUCAACACUGUGGAAAGCAAAAAAUUGUGAAAGAACAAAAACAUGAAAAACAUCCCAUAGCAAAAAAAAUCCCAUAGCAAAAUGAUAAAGGUGCCAUUUCUGGUUUCUAGCCAUUUGACAACAAGAAAUCCAAUAAAUCAACACACAGA